CAAGUCUAGUUGUGACUUAUAUGAAAACUCUUUUCCAUCAAUCACACUACUAUGGUCAUAGAUUCUUGGACUUAGCCUUUCAAAUCCCAUAAAACUACUCUUCCCUAUCAAGAUUAAUAGAUCCUAUCUUGAUACGCACCCCACUCCUAUAGUGGAUCAACUGUCACUAACAUCCACUACAAGGGCUCGUUUAGAUCCAUAUUUAUAUGUCAGUCAAACUUUAGUAGCCUCACUACGAGCAGCAGUUCCAUCUCAAGUCA
Molecule: long non-coding RNA, 260 nt
Filed under: Elaeis guineensis (African oil palm)
Lineage: Eukaryota; Viridiplantae; Streptophyta; Magnoliopsida; Arecales; Arecaceae
Description: long non-coding RNA (EGUI_LNC044756)
Source: RNAcentral